GCCAAGCAGCCGCGGUAAUUCCAGCUCCAAUAGCGUAUAUUAAAGUUGUUGUGGUUAAAAAGCUCGUAGUUGGAUCUCAACAGCCUUGAAGCGGUUAACUUUGUAGUUUUACUGCUUUAUAGGCUGUGCUUUUGCUGGAGGUUUAGGGGUGCUCUUGAUCGAGUGUCUCUGGAUGCCAGCAGGUUUACUUUGAAAAAAUUAGAGUGCUCAAAGCAGGCUAAAAUGCCUGAAUAUUCGUGCAUGGAAUAAUAGAAUAGGAUGUCGAUCCUAUUUUGUUGGUUUUCGGGACUCGACAUAAUGAUAAAUAGGGACAGUCGGGGGCAUUUGUAUUCAAACGACAGAGGUGAAAUUCUUGGACCGUUUGAAGACAAACUACUGCGAAAGCAUUUGCCAAGAAUGUUUUCAUUAAUCAAGAACGAAAGUUAGAGGUUCGAAGGCGAUUAGAUACCGCCCUAGUUCUAACCAUAAACGAUGCCAGCUAGCGAUCUGCCUGCGUUUUUACUGUAGACUGGGCAGGAAGCUUCCGGGAAACCAAAGCAUUUGGGUUCCAGGGGAAGUAUGGUUGCAAAGCUGAAACUUAAAGGAAUUGACGGAAGGGCACCACCAGGAGUGGAGCCUGUGGCUUAAUUUGACUCAACACGGGAAAUCUCACCAGGCCCGGACACUGGAAGGAUUGACAGAUUGAUAGCUCUUUCUUGAUUCGGUGGGUGGUGGUGCAUGGCCGUUCUUAGUUGGUGGAGUGAUUUGUCUGGUUAAUUCCGAUAACGAACGAGACUCUGUCCUGCUAAAUAGUUUCUACUUCUCUUUUGAGUAGAAAUUUCUUCUUAGAGGGACUGGUGACUCUUAGUCACACGAGAUUGAGCAAUAACAGGUCUG
RNAcentral lists this ribosomal RNA (876 nucleotides) under uncultured eukaryote. RNAcentral describes it as "SSU rRNA". It matches the Rfam family "Eukaryotic small subunit ribosomal RNA", at positions 566 to 1464 of the family's 1831-position model. The record is from RNAcentral.